Molecule: ribosomal RNA, 264 nt
Filed under: Escherichia coli
Lineage: Bacteria; Pseudomonadati; Pseudomonadota; Gammaproteobacteria; Enterobacterales; Enterobacteriaceae
Description: partial 16S ribosomal RNA
Rfam family: Bacterial small subunit ribosomal RNA
Source: RNAcentral
AAAUUGAAGAGUUUGAUCAUGGCUCAGAUUGAACGCUGGCGGCAGGCCUAACACAUGCAAGUCGAACGGUAACAGGAAACAGCUUGCUGUUUCGCUGACGAGUGGCGGACGGGUGAGUAAUGUCUGGGAAACUGCCCGAUGGAGGGGGAUAACUACUGGAAACGGUAGCUAAUACCGCAUAACGUCGCAAGACCAAAGAGGGGGACCUUAGGGCCUCUUGCCAUCGGAUGUGCCCAGAUGGGAUUAGCUAGUAGGUGGGGUAAA